AGAGGUUUGCUAGCGUUGUUCGGAUUCAUUGGGUGUAAAGGGUGUGUAGGCGGUUAGGUAAGUCAGAUGUGAAAUCCCAGAGCUCAACUCUGGAAUUGCAUUUGAUACUGCCAAACUAGAGUACGCUAGAGGCAAGGGGAAUUCCCGGUGUAAGGGUGAAAUCUGUAGAUAUCGGGAGGAACACCAGUGGCGAAGGCGCCUUGCUGGGGUGAUACUGACGCUGAAACACGAAAGCUAGGGGUAGCAAACAGGAUUAGAUACCCUGGUAGUCCUAGCUGUAAACGAUGGGUACUAGGCGUUGGAAGGUUAUUGCCCUUUCGGUGCCGUAGCUAACGCAUUAAGUACCCCCACCUGGGGAGUACGGUCGCAAGAUUG
RNAcentral lists this ribosomal RNA (375 nucleotides) under uncultured organism. Its description in RNAcentral is "partial 16S ribosomal RNA". It matches the Rfam family "Bacterial small subunit ribosomal RNA", at positions 526 to 896 of the family's 1533-position model. The record is from RNAcentral.